UAAAACGUAGGUACCGAGCGUUAUCCGGAUUUACUGGGCGUAAAGCGCGUUCAGGCGGUUUGGCAAGUCGGGCAUGAAAUCUCUCGGCUCAACCGGGAGAGGUUGUCCGAUACUGCUGGACUUGAGGGCAGUAGAGGGUGGUGGAAUUCCGGGUGUAGUGGUGAAAUGCGUAGAUAUCCGGAGGAACACCAGUGGCGAAAGCGGCCACCUGGACUGUACCUGACGCUCAAACGCGAA
This 237-nucleotide ribosomal RNA is filed under the name uncultured bacterium. RNAcentral's name for it is "partial 16S ribosomal RNA". It matches the Rfam family "Bacterial small subunit ribosomal RNA", at positions 521 to 757 of the family's 1533-position model. The record is from RNAcentral.